GACGAACGCUGGCGGCGUGCUUAACAUAUGCAAGUCGAGCGGAAAGGCCCUUUCGGGGGUACUCGAGCGGCGAACGGGUGAGUAACACGUGAGUAAUAUGCCCCUGGCUUUGGGAUAGCCACCGGAAACGGUGCUUAAUAACGGAUACGACCACUUCUCGCAUGGGAUGGUGGUGGAAAGUUUUUCGGCCAGUGAUGUGCUCGCGGCCUAUCAGCUUGAUGGUGAGGUAAUGGCUCACCAUGGCUUCGACGGGUAGCCGGCCUGAGAGGGUGACCGGUCACCCUGGGACUGAGACACGGCCUAGACUCCUACGGGAGGCAGCAGUGGGGAAUAUUGGACAAUGGGCGGACGCCUGAUCCAGCAACGCCGCGUGAGGGAUGACGGCCUUCGGGUUGUAAACCUCUUUCAGCAGGUACGAAGCGCAAGUGACGGUACCUGCAGAAGAAGCACCGGCCAACUACGUGCCAGCCGCCGCCGUAA
RNAcentral lists this ribosomal RNA (480 nucleotides) under uncultured bacterium. RNAcentral describes it as "partial 16S ribosomal RNA". It matches the Rfam family "Bacterial small subunit ribosomal RNA", at positions 28 to 523 of the family's 1533-position model. The record is from RNAcentral.